GUUUGACCCCUUUUAAUGGCCUCCGAAUUUUCAUUCAAAAUUCGAAAUUUAUUUUCAGAAAACCUCUUUUAGUUGGCACAUGCAAAGGAAUAGGAACAACCCAAAUCAGAUCUCAACCAAAUCUGAUUUAAAUUCAAAUUUUAAACACAUGUGCAAGAGGGAAGGAAUUUGAAAUCCCUGCGGCAAGGUAAACACUUCAUAAUUUCGAAAUCACCUCUUGAAAUUCGAAUUUAAUCCAUUCAAAAACUCAGACGCCACCUUGGCUGAUGGUUUGAGUGAUUAAAAUCAUUUAACAC
This 296-nucleotide long non-coding RNA is filed under the name Phoenix dactylifera (date palm). Its description in RNAcentral is "long non-coding RNA (PDAC_LNC020264)". Lineage: Eukaryota; Viridiplantae; Streptophyta; Magnoliopsida; Arecales; Arecaceae. The record is from RNAcentral.